UUAAGCAUAUCAAUAAGCGGAGGAAAAGAAACCAACAGGGAUUGCCCUAGUAACGGCGAGUGAAGCGGCAACAGCUCAAAUUUGAAAUCUGGCGUAAGCCCGAGUUGUAAUUUGUAGAGGAUGCUUCUGGGUAGCGGCCGGUCUAAGUUCCUUGGAACAGGACGUCAUAGAGGGUGAGAAUCCCGUAUGUGACUGGCUUGCACCCUCCACGUAGCUCCUUCGACGAGUCGAGUUGUUUGGGAAUGCAGCUCUAAAUGGGAGGUAAAUUUCUUCUAAAGCUAAAUACCGGCCAGAGACCGAUAGCGCACAAGUAGAGUGAUCGAAAGAUGAAAAGCACUUUGGAAAGAGAGUUAAAAAGCACGUGAAAUUGUUGAAAGGGAAGCGCCCGCAACCAGACUUUGCGGCGGUGUUCGGCUGGUCUUCUGACCGGUUUACUCGCCGCCGUGAGGCCAUCAUCGUCUGGGACCGCUGGAUAAGACCUGAGGAAUGUAGCUCCCUUCGGGGUGUGUUAUAGCCUCUGGUGAUGCAGCGCGUCUCGGGCGAGGUCCGCGCUUCGGCAAGGAUGAUGGCGUAAUGGUUGUCGGCGGCCCGUCUUGAAACACGGACCAAGGAGUCUAACAUCUAUGCGAGUGUUCGGGUGUCAAACCCCUACGCGUAAUGAAAGUGAACGGAGGUGGGAACUUUUUGUGCACCAUCGACCGAUCCUGAUGUCCUCGGAUGGAUUUGAGUAAGAGCAUAGCUGUUGGGACCCGAAAGAUGGUGAACUAUGCCUGAAUAGGGUGAAGCCAGAGGAAACUCUGGUGGAGGCUCGCAGCGGUUCUGACGUGCAAAUCGAUCGUCAAAUUUGGGUAUAGGGGCGAAAGACUAAUCGAACCAUCUAGUAGCUGGUUCCUGCCGAA
RNAcentral lists this ribosomal RNA (899 nucleotides) under Pseudocercospora sp. CPC 15116. RNAcentral describes it as "eukaryotic LSU rRNA". It matches the Rfam family "Eukaryotic large subunit ribosomal RNA", at positions 34 to 965 of the family's 3401-position model. The record is from RNAcentral. Lineage: Eukaryota; Fungi; Ascomycota; Dothideomycetes; Mycosphaerellales; Mycosphaerellaceae.